RNAcentral lists this ribosomal RNA (468 nucleotides) under uncultured bacterium. RNAcentral's name for it is "partial 16S ribosomal RNA". It matches the Rfam family "Bacterial small subunit ribosomal RNA", at positions 28 to 507 of the family's 1533-position model. The record is from RNAcentral.
GACGAACGCUGGCGGCGUGCUUAACACAUGCAAGUCGAACGGAAAGGCCCUGCUUUUGUGGGAUGCUCGAGUGGCGAACGGGUGAGUAACACGUGCGUAACCUGCCCUUGACUUUGGGAUAACUUCAGGAAACUGGGGCUAAUACCGGAUAGGAGCUCCUGCUGCAUGGAGGGGGUUGGAAAGUUUCGGCGGUUGGGGAUGGACUCGCGGCUUAUCAGCUUGUUGGUGGGGUAGUGGCUUACCAAGGCUUUGACGGGUAGCCGGCCUGAGAGGGUGACCGGCCACAUUGGGCCUGAGAUACGGCCCAGACUCCUACGGUAGGCAGCAGUGGGGAAUAUUGCACAAUGGGCGGAAGCCUGAUGCAGCAACGCCGCGUGCGGGAUGACGGCCUUCGGGUUGUAAACCGCUUUCGCCUGUGACGAAGCGUGAGUGACGGUAAUGUGUAAAGAAGCACCGGCUAACUACGUG